AUCCAGCUGACGAGUCCCAAGUAGGACAAGAAGCGAUUCCUGGAU
RNAcentral lists this non-coding RNA (45 nucleotides) under Trichobilharzia regenti. The record is from RNAcentral. Lineage: Eukaryota; Metazoa; Platyhelminthes; Trematoda; Strigeidida; Schistosomatidae.